This 451-nucleotide ribosomal RNA is filed under the name uncultured bacterium. Its description in RNAcentral is "bacterial SSU rRNA". It matches the Rfam family "Bacterial small subunit ribosomal RNA", at positions 354 to 796 of the family's 1533-position model. The record is from RNAcentral.
GUGAGGAAUAUUGCGCAAUGGCCGCAAGGCUGACGCAGCAACGCCGCGUGAGGGAUGAAGUUCUUAGGAAUGUAAACCUCUGUUAGAGGGGACGAACAGACGAUCGUCGAAUAGGCGGUCGUUUUGACGGUACCUUCAGAGAAAGCCCCGGCUAACUCCGUGCCAGCAGCCGCGGUAACACGGGGGGGGCAAGCGUUGUCCGGAAUUAUUGGGCGUAAAGGGCGCGUAGGUGGGGUGACAAGUCCGAGGUGCAAACUUACGGCUUAACUGUAAGCUUGCCUUGGAAACUAUCACUCUUGAGUUCGGGAGAGGGAAAUGGAAUUCCUGGUGUAGCGGUGAAAUGCGUAGAUAUCAGGAAGAACACCGGUGGCGAAGGCGGUUUCCUGGCCCGAUACUGACACUGAGGCGCGAAAGUGCGGGGAGCAAACAGGAUUAGAUACCCCGGUAGUCC